RNAcentral lists this ribosomal RNA (721 nucleotides) under uncultured Nitrososphaerota archaeon. RNAcentral's name for it is "bacterial SSU rRNA". It matches the Rfam family "Archaeal small subunit ribosomal RNA", at positions 8 to 737 of the family's 1478-position model. The record is from RNAcentral. Lineage: Archaea; Thermoproteati; Nitrososphaerota.
UUGAUCCUGCCGGACCCGACUGCUAUCAGAGUGGGACUAAGCCAUGCGAGUCAACGUAGAAAUACGUGGCAAACGGCUCAGUAACACGUAGUCAACAUGCCCAGGGGACGUGGAUAACCUCGGGAAACUGAGGAUAAACCGCGAUAGGCCAUGAUUUCUGGAAUGGUUCAUGGCCGAAAUCUAUAUGGCCCCUGGAUUGGACUGCGGCCGAUCAGGCUGUUGGUGAGGUAAUGGCCCACCAAACCUGUAACCGGUACGGGCUCUGAGAGGAGGAGCCCGGAGAUGGGCACUGAGACAAGGGCCCAGGCCCUAUGGGGCGCAGCAGGCGCGAAACCUCUGCAAUAGGCGAAAGCUUGACAGGGUUACUCUGAGUGAUUUCCGUUAAGGAGAUCUUUUGGCACCUCUAAAAAUGGUGCAGAAUAAGGGGUGGGCAAGUCUGGUGUCAGCCGCCGCGGUAAUACCAGCACCCCGAGUGGUCGGGACGUUUAUUGGGCCUAAAGCAUCCGUAGCCGGUUCUACAAGUCUUCCGUUAAAUCCACCUGCUUAACAGAUGGGCUGCGGAAGAUACUAUAGAGCUAGGAGGCGGGAGAGGCAAGCGGUACUCGAUGGGUAGGGGUAAAAUCCGUUGAUCCAUUGAAGACCACCAGUGGCGAAGGCGGCUUGCCAGAACGCGCUCGACGGUGGGGGACGAAAGCUGGGGGAGCAAACCGGAUUAGAUACC